This 274-nucleotide ribosomal RNA is filed under the name uncultured bacterium. RNAcentral's name for it is "partial 16S ribosomal RNA". It matches the Rfam family "Bacterial small subunit ribosomal RNA", at positions 523 to 796 of the family's 1533-position model. The record is from RNAcentral.
AUACGAAGGGGGCUAGCGUUGUUCGGAAUCACUGGGCGUAAAGCGCGCGUAGGUGGAUCAAUUAGUUGAGGGUGAAAUCCCGGGGCUCAACCUCGGAACUGCCUUCAAUACUGUUGAUCUUGAGACCGCGAGAGGUGAGUGGAAUUCCUAGUGUAGAGGUGAAAUUCGUAGAUAUUAGGAAGAACACCAGUGGCGAAGGCGGCUCACUGGCUCGGUACUGACACUGAGGUGCGAAAGCGUGGGGAGCAAACAGGAUUAGAAACCCUAGUAGUCC